This 423-nucleotide ribosomal RNA is filed under the name uncultured bacterium. RNAcentral's name for it is "bacterial SSU rRNA". It matches the Rfam family "Bacterial small subunit ribosomal RNA", at positions 207 to 622 of the family's 1533-position model. The record is from RNAcentral.
AAGACCUUGCGCUUUUGGAGCGGCCGAUGCCUGAUUAGCUUGUUGGUAAGGUAAAAGCUUACCAAGGCUUCGAUCAGUAGCUGGUCUGAGAGGACGGCCAGCCACACUGGGACUGAGACACGGCCCAGACUCCUACGGGAGGCAGCAGUGGGGAAUUUUGGACAAUGGGGGCAACCCUGAUCCAGCCAUGCCGCGUGAGUGAAGAAGGCCUUCGGGUUGUAAAGCUCUUUCAGCCGGGAAGAAAAGGCUACGACGAAUAAUCGUAGCUCAUGACGGUACCGGAAGAAGAAGCACCGGCUAACUACGUGCCAGCAGCCGCGGUAAUACGUAGGGUGCGAGCGUUAAUCGGAAUUACUGGGCGUAAAGCGUGCGCAGGUGGUUUUGUAAGUCAGAUGUGAAAUCCCCGGGCUUAACCUGGGAACU